This is a transfer RNA of Camelus ferus (Wild Bactrian camel), 72 nucleotides long. It matches the Rfam family "tRNA". From Rfam's summary of the family: Transfer RNA (tRNA) molecules are approximately 80 nucleotides in length. Lineage: Eukaryota; Metazoa; Chordata; Mammalia; Artiodactyla; Camelidae. The record is from Rfam.
GAGGGUAUAGCUCAGUGGUAGAGCACGUGCCUAGCAUGCAGAAGGUCCUGCGUUCAAUCCCCAGUACCUCCC